CCACUUUGAUUUGAUCAAUUUGGGUGUGUCCAUUAAUUAGAGGACCUUUGAUUUUCAUAUGGGGUGUCUCUUAGGUGCAAAAGAAGAUGUCUAAUUAUGGGUGCAAAGGCUCCAAUAGUUGGUGCCUAAUGGGCUUCCUAAUGUAAGUUGGAUAACUUAAGUUAAUAGGAAUCCUAAUGUAAGUAGGACUUGUAUUGUAUGAUUGAAUAGGAUUCAAUCCUUAUGCUUAUUUAAAGGAAUCUCCCCUAAGAUCUCUAGAGCAUCAAAAUCAAUAGCCCCUCACACUCA
RNAcentral lists this long non-coding RNA (288 nucleotides) under Elaeis guineensis (African oil palm). RNAcentral describes it as "long non-coding RNA (EGUI_LNC059766)". Lineage: Eukaryota; Viridiplantae; Streptophyta; Magnoliopsida; Arecales; Arecaceae. The record is from RNAcentral.